AGAGUUUGAUCAUGGCUCAGAACGAACGCUGGCGGCGUGCCUAAUACAUGCAAGUCGGACGUUAAGUGUAGCAAUACACUGAAAGUGGCGAACGGGUGAGUAACACGUAAGUAAUCUGCCUUUAAGAUUGGGAUAACCUUGCCAACGCGGGGCUAAUACCGGAUGUGGUUGACAUGACGCAUGUUGUGUUAAUUAAAGGAGUGAUCCGCUUAAAGAUGAACUUGCGGCCCAUUAGUUAGUUGGCGGGGUAAUGGCCCACCAAGACCGCGAUGGGUAGCCGGCCUGAGAGGGUGAACGGCCACAUUGGGACUGAGAUACGGCCCAGACUCCUACGGGAGGCAGCAGUAGGGAAUUUUGCGCAAUGGACGAAAGUCUGACGCAGCAACGCCGCGUGAGGGAUAAAGGUCUUCGGAUUGUAAACCUCUGUUGAAUGGGAAAAAAGGUAGCAAUAUUUGAUGGUACCAUUUGAGGAAGCACCGGCUAACUACGUGCCAGCAGCCGCGGUAAUACGUAGGGUGCAAGCGUUGUUCGGAAUCACUGGGCGUAAAGAGAGCGUAGGCGGGAUUGUAAGUUAGAAGUUUAAUACAAGGGCUCAACCCUUGAGCGGCUUUUAAUACUGCAGUUCUUGAAUGUGGGAGAGGGCGAUGGAAUUCCAGGUGUAGCGGUGGAAUGCGUAGAUAUCUGGAAGAACACCAGUAGCGAAGGCGGUCGCCUGGCCUAACAUUGACGCUGAGGCUCGAAAGCUAGGGGAGCAAACAGGAUUAGAUACCCUGGUAGUCCUAGCCGUAAACGAUGAACAUUAGUUGCCGGAGGAGUCAAUCUUUUUGGUGACGAAGCUAACGCAUUAAGUGUUCCGCCUGGGAAGUACGCUCGCAGGAGUGAAACUCAAAGGAAUUGACGG
Molecule: ribosomal RNA, 901 nt
Filed under: uncultured bacterium
Lineage: Bacteria
Description: bacterial SSU rRNA
Rfam family: Bacterial small subunit ribosomal RNA
Source: RNAcentral